This 497-nucleotide ribosomal RNA is filed under the name uncultured bacterium. RNAcentral's name for it is "partial 16S ribosomal RNA". It matches the Rfam family "Bacterial small subunit ribosomal RNA", at positions 28 to 507 of the family's 1533-position model. The record is from RNAcentral.
GAUGAACGCUGGCGGCGUGCCUAAUACAUGCAAGUCGAGCGAACAGACGAGGAGCUUGCUCCUCUGACGUUAGUGGCGGACGGGUGAGUAACACGUGGAUAACCUACCUAUAAGACUGGGAUAACUUCGGGAAACCGGAGCUAAUACCGGAUAAUAUAUUGAACCGCAUGGUUCAAUAGUGAAAGACGGUUUUGCUGUCACUUCUCGAUGGAUCCGCGCCGCAUUAGCUAGUUGGUAAGGUAACGGCUUACCAAGGCAACGAUGCGUAGCCGACCUGAGAGGGUGAUCGGCCACACUGGAACUGAGACACGGUCCAGACUCCUACGGGAGGCAGCAGUAGGGAAUCUUCCGCAAUGGGCGAAAGCCUGACGGAGCAACGCCGCGUGAGUGAUGAAGGUCUUCGGAUCGUAAAACUCUGUUAUUAGGGAAGAACAAAUGUGUAAGUAACUAUGCACGUCUUGACGGUACCUAAUCAGAAAGCCACGGCUAACUACGUG